RNAcentral lists this ribosomal RNA (381 nucleotides) under uncultured eukaryote. RNAcentral's name for it is "partial 18S ribosomal RNA". It matches the Rfam family "Eukaryotic small subunit ribosomal RNA", at positions 592 to 975 of the family's 1831-position model. The record is from RNAcentral.
CAAUAGCGUAUAUUAAAGUUGUUGCAGUUAAAAAGCUCGUAGUCGGACUUCUGCGGGUGGCGGCCGGUCGUGCUCGAAACGGGCGUGAACUUGGCGUGCUGCCCGCAUCUUUGGGGAGAUUGUGCGUGGCAUUAAGUUGUCGUGCAUGGGAUUCUCAUCAUUUACUGUGAAAAAAUUAGAGUGUUUAAAGCAGGCCUUUGCCUUGAAUACAUUAGCAUGGAAUAAUAAGAUAGGACCGUUGUCUAUUUUGUUGGUUUACAGAUGUCGGUAAUGAUUAAUAGGGAUAGUUGGGGGUAUUCGUAUUCAGUUGUCAGAGGUGAAAUUCUUGGAUUUUCGGAAGACGCACGACUGCGAAAGCAUUUACCAAGGAUGUUUUCAUUA